Non-coding RNA from Thalassophryne amazonica, 792 nucleotides. The record is from the annotation of a RefSeq genome assembly. NCBI's taxonomy places the organism in Eukaryota, Metazoa, Chordata, Actinopteri, Batrachoidiformes, Batrachoididae.
UUCACUCUGACAAGAGAAGACACUGUGAGAGGAGCUCUGAUCAUUGGCAGUGCCAACCUGUCGCACUCUGCUGUUUAUUUCUGCGCUGCCAGCACACAGUGAUGUGGUUUAAUGACACUCCCUCUACAAAAACCUUCAUCUAUUCUGACAGAGCAGCACAGAGGCAGGAACAACCUUCAGGAACAACCAGGAACAACCUUCUACAAUAUACAGACUCUUACUAGCAGGAGGAUGCAGAUGGCUGUCAUUGGACUGUUUCUCAUCUUCUUUCCAUAUUCCGUUCAGAGUGUGUUGUUCCAUCAGUCUCAGCCCAGAAUAGCAAACAUAAAGGUCACUGUAGAAAUCACAUGCAGCCACAGCGACAGCGGUCUUAACGUCAUGCUCUGGUACCAGCAGACAGUGAACAGUCAGAUCAGUUUAAUAGGAUACAGCUACAUUAAUAAUGAUCCCAUCUACGAGAAGCAGUUUGAAGAUGGCUUUGAGAUGACGAGAGAGAACGUGCAGACUGGAGCUCUGAUCAUCGGGAGCGUGAAGCUGUCAGACACGGCGGUUUAUUUCUGUGCCGCCAGCACACAAUGAUGUGGUUUAAUAACACUCCUUCACCAAAAACCUGUUCCACACUGAGAGCCAGGAGAGCAGAACCUCAGUACACGAGAGACAAAGUAUUGUUAUUUACAGUACAGCAGAAGUGAGUAUUCCCCCAUGCUGUAUCAGUUAAAUGCCAAAUAAGUCAAUAUUGUAUUAGCUGUCAAUAAUCACGUUAUAAACCCUAUUCAGCCAAGAUUAGUUUAC